GUCGGAGAUGAAUCAAGUGAGCAGCAGGGUUUGGAUGGCGGCGAGCGUGGCGGUGGUGCAGGGCCGCCAUGUGACCAACGAACGGGGAGCGAAGUUCGGCUUCAUCGGCGGUCUCAUACCGGCGGCCGCUGGGAUCGGCCUGGAGCGGCAGAUCGAGGGUGGAUGUGGCGGCGAUGAGCGGCAACGGCAGCAGAAAGCGGAUGAUUCGUUCCGGAAGGCGAUGUACUUGAGCUGCUGGGCGCCGAGCUAAUCUGAAAUCGGUUGAGAGCGAUCAAGAUUUUGGGCGGAGAUCUGGGGAAUCUGGAUACCGAGAGCCGAGAGGGAAGGAAGUAUGGGAUGGCACUGUAAAUUACACAUAUUAUGUUACAAACGACAACAAAAUUGGCAGUCGAGAAACUGCGAGAUGUAAUUAUCCUUUAAACGAAGAGAAAAUCUGCAGUAACCUAUCAGAUAACUCAAAAAUUCAAUAUUUUCGUUGUAAGAACUACGGAAAUUAUAAAUUCAAAUUUCAAA
RNAcentral lists this unclassified non-coding RNA (513 nucleotides) under Hevea brasiliensis (rubber tree). Lineage: Eukaryota; Viridiplantae; Streptophyta; Magnoliopsida; Malpighiales; Euphorbiaceae. The record is from RNAcentral.